UGCGGGUAUUUAUGUAUUCCUUCUUCUAUUAUUGUGAUGUCAUUUUCGUCUAUCUUUUUGUUUUGACAAAUUCUUUUAUAUUGACUAUACAAUUCAAACCAUCAUACACAUAUGACCCUGAACCAUGUUUCUUAUGUCUCCUAUAUUUGUUUUAUUGAUAAAUCAAAGGGAUAGAAUCAGAAAAUUGUUAAAUCUAUUAUUUGAUGCGAGUAUUAAA
RNAcentral lists this long non-coding RNA (217 nucleotides) under Mytilus galloprovincialis (Mediterranean mussel). The record is from RNAcentral. Lineage: Eukaryota; Metazoa; Mollusca; Bivalvia; Mytilida; Mytilidae.